AGUGAAGCAGGCAACAGCUCAAAUUUGAAAUCUGGCGCAAGCCCGAGUUGUAAUUUGUAGAGGAUGCUUCUGGCCAGCGGCCGUUCUAAGUUCCUUGGAACAGGACGUCAUAGAGGGUGAGAAUCCCGUAUGUGACCGGCGCGCAGCCUUUACGUAGCUCCUUCGACGAGUCGAGUUGUUUGGGAAUGCAGCUCUAAAUGGGAGGUAAAUUUCUUCUAAAGCUAAAUACCGGCCAGAGACCGAUAGCGCACAAGUAGAGUGAUCGAAAGAUGAAAAGCACUUUGGAAAGAGAGUUAAAAAGCACGUGAAAUUGUUGAAAGGGAAGCGCUUGCAACCAGACUUCGUAGCGGUGUUCCGCCGGUCUUCUGACCGGUCUACUCAUCGUCGCGAGGCCAACAUCGUCUGGGACCGCUGGAUAAGACCUAAGGAAUGUAGCUUCCCUCGGGAAGUGUUAUAGCCUGUGGUGAUGCAGCGCGUCUCGGGCGAGGUCCGCGCUUCGGCAAGGAUGUUGGCGUAAUGGUUGUCAGCGGCCCGUCUUGAAACACGGACCAAGGAGUCUAACAUCUAUGCGAGUGUUCGGGUGUCAAACCCCUACGCGUAAUGAAAGUGAACGGAGGUGGGAAGCGCAAGCUGCACCAUCGACCGAUCCUGAUGUCCUCGGAUGGAUUUGAGUAAGAGCAUAGCUGUUGGGACCCGAAAGAUGGUGAACUAUGCCUGAAUAGGGUGAAGCCAGAGGAAACUCUGGUGGAGGCUCGCAGCGGUUCUGACGUGCAAAUCGAUCGUCAAAUUUGGGUAUAGGGGCGAAAGACUAAUCGAACCAUCUAGUAGCUGGU
This 833-nucleotide ribosomal RNA is filed under the name Pantospora chromolaenae. RNAcentral describes it as "partial 28S ribosomal RNA". It matches the Rfam family "Eukaryotic large subunit ribosomal RNA", at positions 92 to 955 of the family's 3401-position model. Lineage: Eukaryota; Fungi; Ascomycota; Dothideomycetes; Mycosphaerellales; Mycosphaerellaceae. The record is from RNAcentral.